AUAUCUAUAGUAAUUCAGUAAAUGUGAUUAACCCAAAUUCUGACAUUUCAGUGUAAAGUAAGACUCUUGAUUUUACGAGCAAGAGUCUUUAUACACUCAAAAAGAGUCCAACUCUAUUGGAAGAAGAAAAAGUCGAAGAUUCUCUGAAUAUUAUAUAAACAAUAAAUUCAACCAAUAAUUAUAUAUUAGAAUUACUUACAUAGACAUAGUCAAAGUCAUUACAAAUUCCGCGUAUUUUCCAGUCAAGGGACAUAUUCACAUAUACUAAUGCAACAAACUAAGUCGGAGAAGGAGCGAAA
Molecule: long non-coding RNA, 299 nt
Filed under: Mytilus galloprovincialis (Mediterranean mussel)
Lineage: Eukaryota; Metazoa; Mollusca; Bivalvia; Mytilida; Mytilidae
Source: RNAcentral